GGAUUUUUGGACUUUGUCAGCCGGACAGCUGAACUUAACAAUAUUACUGUAAAGAGUUUGUGAAUCUGUGGAGAACUGACAGCUGUCUGACAGCAGAGCAGCAUCUCCAGCCUGAAACGAGGGCUGCCAGUGACGCUGGGUGAACCCAAAGACUGGGUUGGUCUUUGACUUGGCCAAGACGGAGACAAGUCCAAAUACAUACUGAGUCCAAGACAAGCCCUAGAUAAAAGGGAAAAUGUCUCGAGACUAGAAUGAGAACCAAGAAUGGCACUGCCCAAAUCAAGGAGAAUUUUUUUCGUCGUGUGUGUUUAUGCAAGUAGAUUCCUGAAUCUUUUAUGUCCAACCAUAGACUGUAUACUAUAGAUGUAGCCACUGUGAUGUCACCCAUUGGUUUGUGGACUUCUCGACUCCUCGACAGCACAUUGGCCAUUGCGAUCUUGCUGUUUUGGAAGCAGAAGUGAUCAUAAAGUGGACGAGAGGGUGGAGCUGGGGAGGGAUACUCAUUGCUACUCAUUAAGAAAGUAUUUACUGAGGUGUCAUAUUACCAUAAUGGCUUCUUGUGACGGUGAUGUACUAAGCUGAAGUAUGGAAAUGCAAUAUGCCACAGCACACAUUAUGAGAGCUGAAUGCAUUAGAUGUCAUUUGUGUGAGUAUACGGCUGUAUGGUCAUUAUGUGUUAAACUGUGGGAAACAGGGGGGUGGGGGAGUUGGUAAACUAUAUUCCAGUUACAGUGAGGUUCGGGUAUUCUGUAGCUCGCAUGCAAAGAGGAGUGAGAAUUAACAGGGAAAUGAAUAUAUGGAAUGAAAAUGGCCUCUUGUCAUUCUUUUCUUGCAUACCUACAAUAUUUACUGCAGCACAACUGUGGCGUGAUUAGACACUGAACUGACUGAGUUUGGUCUGCGUGCGAUGGCGUACACCUUCAUGCUAAUCUGUUCAUAAUAGUUUCUUUUAGUUGCAGGGAUGGUAAUACCUAUUUGUAGGUCACUCUGUCCACCACUUUGGUCCAGACUGAAAUAUCGCCAAAAACUAUUGGAUGAAUUGCCACGAUAUUUUGUACAGACAAACUUUUCUUCCAGUGCCACCAUGAAGUUAGGCUUAAUUUAGGGGUAAAAUGUCACAACUAGAAAGAUUGCCAUGAAAUGUGGUUCGCACAUUCAUGUUUUCUUAUAACCAGCAGCUGUCAGACCAGAUGCUCUAAAUAGAGAAUCUUCAGUGUCCUCAAAGUGUGAACUUGGCAAAAUUGCAUUUUCAUACUACUGUAUCAGUUCAACCAAACAACAUUAUCUGCCUCUGUAUUCAGAGAGAAGACCGGAAGUAGGCAUGGUUAAUAAGGAAGUCACAUUAAAUUGUGCUAAUAUUAAUUGCCAAUGGUUUUGC
Molecule: long non-coding RNA, 1378 nt
Organism: Micropterus salmoides (largemouth bass)
Lineage: Eukaryota; Metazoa; Chordata; Actinopteri; Centrarchiformes; Centrarchidae
Exons: 2
Source: RefSeq, a predicted model, not a curated record